UAAGCCGUUGAAGGUGUCCUGUGAGGGGUGCUGGAGGUAUCAGAAGUGCGAAUGCUGACAUAAGUAACGAUAAAGCGGGUGAAAAGCCCGCUCGCCGGAAGACCAAGGGUUCCUGUCCAACGUUAAUCGGGGCAGGGUGAGUCGACCCCUAAGGCGAGGCCGAAAGGCGUAGUCGAUGGGAAACGGGUUAAUAUUCCCGUACUUGGUGUUACUGCGAAGGGGGGACGGAGAAGGCUAUGUUGGCCGGGCGACGGUUGUCCCGGUUUAAGCGUGUAGGUGUGUGUUCCAGGUAAAUCCGGUUCACUUUAACACUGAGGCGUGAUGACGAGGCACCACGGUGCUGAAGCAACAAAUGCCCUGCUUCCAGGAAAAGCCUCUAAGCAUCAGGUAACAUCAAAUCGUACCCCAAACCGACACAGGUGGUCAGGUAGAGAAUACCAAGGCGCUUGAGAGAACUCGGGUGAAGGAACUAGGCAAAAUGGUGCCGUAACUUCGGGAGAAGGCACGCUGACACGUAGGUGAAGUGAUUUACUCAUGGAGCUGAAGUCAGUCGAAGAUACCAGCUGGCUGCAACUGUUUAUUAAAAACACAGCACUGUGCAAACACGAAAGUGGACGUAUACGGUGUGACGCCUGCCCGGUGCCGGAAGGUUAAUUGAUGGGGUCAGCGCAAGCGAAGCUCCUGAUCGAAGCCCCGGUAAACGGCGGCCGUAACUAUAACGGUCCUAAGGUAGCGAAAUUCCUUGUCGGGUAAGUUCCGACCUGCACGAAUGGCGUAAUGAUGGCCAGGCUGUCUCCACCCGAGACUCAGUGAAAUUGAACUCGCUGUGAAGAUGCAGUGUACCCGCGGCAAGACGGAAAGACCCCGUGAACCUUUACUAUAGCUUGACACUGAACAUUGAGCCUUGAUGUGUAGGAUAGGUGGGAGGCUUUGAAGCGUGGACGCCAGUCUGCGUGGAGCCGACCUUGAAAUACCACCCUUUAAUGUUUGAUGUUCUAACGUGGACCCGUAAUCCGGGUUGCGGACAGUGUCUGGUGGGUAGUUUGACUGGGGCGGUCUCCUCCUAAAGAGUAACGGAGGAGCACGAAGGUUGGCUAAUCCUGGUCGGACAUCAGGAGGUUAGUGCAAUGGCAUAAGCCAGCUUGACUGCGAGCGUGACGGCGCGAGCAGGUGCGAAAGCAGGUCAUAGUGAUCCGGUGGUUCUGAAUGGAAGGGCCAUCGCUCAACGGAUAAAAGGUACUCCGGGGAUAACAGGCUGAUACCGCCCAAGAGUUCAUAUCGACGGCGGUGUUUGGCACCUCGAUGUCGGCUCAUCACAUCCUGGGGCUGAAGUAGGUCCCAAGGGUAUGGCUGUUCGCCAUUUAAAGUGGUACGCGAGCUGGGUUUAGAACGUCGUGAGACAGUUCGGUCCCUAUCUGCCGUGGGCGCUGGAAGACUGAGGGGGGCUGCUCCUAGUACGAGAGGACCGGAGUGGACGCAUCACUGGUGUUCGGGUUGUCAUGCCAAUGGCACUGCCCGGUAGCUAAAUGCGGAAAAGAUAAGUGCUGAAAGCAUCUAAGCACGAAACUUGCCCCGAGAUGAGUCUUCCCUGAGACCUUGAGUCUCCUGAAGGAACGUUAAAGACGAUGACGUUGAUAGGCCGGGUGUGUA
RNAcentral lists this ribosomal RNA (1650 nucleotides) under Salmonella enterica subsp. diarizonae. RNAcentral's name for it is "partial 23S ribosomal RNA". It matches the Rfam family "Bacterial large subunit ribosomal RNA", at positions 1243 to 2871 of the family's 2925-position model. Lineage: Bacteria; Pseudomonadati; Pseudomonadota; Gammaproteobacteria; Enterobacterales; Enterobacteriaceae. The record is from RNAcentral.